Molecule: ribosomal RNA, 460 nt
Filed under: uncultured bacterium
Lineage: Bacteria
Description: partial 16S ribosomal RNA
Rfam family: Bacterial small subunit ribosomal RNA
Source: RNAcentral
CCUACGGGAGGCAGCAGUGAGGAAUAUUGGUCAAUGGGCGGGAGCCUGAACCAGCCAAGCCGCGUGAAGGAAGAAGGCGCCAGGCGUCGUAAACUUCUUUUGUCGGGGAACAAAGGGCGCCACGCGUGGCGUUAUGAGUGUACCCGAAGCACAAGCAUCGGCUAACUCCGUGCCAGCAGCCGCGGUAAUACGGAGGAUGCGCGCGUUAUCCGGAUUUAUUGGGUUUAAAGGGAGCGUAGAUGGGUUGUUAAGUCAGUUGUGAAAGUUUGCGGCUCAACCGUAAAAUUGCAAGUGAUACUGGCAGGCUUGAGUACAGUAGAGGUAGGCGGAAUUCGUGGUGUAGCGGUGAAAUGCGUAGAUAUCACGAAGAACUCCGAUUGCGAAGGCAGCUUACUAAACUGCCACUGACAUUGAUGCUCGAAAGUGUGGGUAGCAAACAGGAUUAGAUACCCCUGUAGUC